Molecule: ribosomal RNA, 253 nt
Filed under: uncultured bacterium
Lineage: Bacteria
Description: partial 16S ribosomal RNA
Rfam family: Bacterial small subunit ribosomal RNA
Source: RNAcentral
UACGUAGGGUGCGAGCGUUGUCCGGAAUUAUUGGGCGUAAAGAGCUCGUAGGCGGUUUGUUGCGUCUAUCGUGAAAACCUGCAGCUUAACUGUGGGCUUGCGGUGGAUACGGGCAGACUUGAGUUCGGUAGGGGAGAAUGGAAUUCCUGGUGUAGCGGUGGAAUGCGCAGAUAUCAGGAGGAACACCGAUGGCGAAGGCAGUUCUCUGGGCCGUAACUGACGCUGAGGAGCGAAAGCGUGGGGAGCGAACAUG